GACGAACGCUGGCGGCGUGCUUAACACAUGCAAGUCGAACGGAAAGGCCCUGCUUGCAGGGUACUCGAGUGGCGAACGGGUGAGUAACACGUGGGUGAUCUGCCCUGCACUUCGGGAUAAGCCUUGGGAACUGGGUCUAAUACCGGGGAGGGGCCAUCUUUAGUGUGAUGGUUGGAAAGUUUUUUCGGUGUAGGAUGAGCUCGCGGCCUAUCAGCUUGUUGGUGGGGUAAUGGCCUACCAAGGCGGCGUCGGGUAGCCGGCCUGUGAGAGUGGGAGGCCACACUGUGACUGAGAGACGCCGCAGACUCUUACGCGGGGCAGAAGUGGGGAAUAUAGCACAAUGGGCGCAAGCCUGAUGCAGAGACGCCGCGUGGGGGAGGACGGCCUUCGGGUUGUAAAAUCCUUUCGCUAGGGACGCAGCUUUUUGUGACGGUACCUAGAUAAGAAGCAACGGCUAACCACGUG
RNAcentral lists this ribosomal RNA (465 nucleotides) under uncultured bacterium. RNAcentral's name for it is "partial 16S ribosomal RNA". It matches the Rfam family "Bacterial small subunit ribosomal RNA", at positions 28 to 507 of the family's 1533-position model. The record is from RNAcentral.